Molecule: non-coding RNA, 657 nt
Organism: Nicotiana tabacum (common tobacco)
Lineage: Eukaryota; Viridiplantae; Streptophyta; Magnoliopsida; Solanales; Solanaceae
Source: RefSeq, a predicted model, not a curated record
UUUUUUUAUUGUUCCCGUUAAAUUUAACAACUAAAGUAUACUACUAUUAGAUAAGCAAAAAAAAAAAAAAACAAUGCUCACUUUUAGGAAAAGCUAAGGACCAAAACUUCUCAAAGGUAGGUUUAAGGGACUAAUUUUAACCUACCCCAAGCAUAAGGGACCAUUUUUGUCACACUCUCGUGGAAUUGAUCAAUCCAAUAUAUUUUGCUCACAAAAUAAGGGGUAUGUAUGAGAUAAUAACAAUUCUAAAGGGGUCACUGUGACAUUCUCUUUAAAAUUUUGAGCGUUUUCUUGCAAGUCCAAAUCUCCAGGGAAUAUCUGCUUUAUAAGCAGAGGUAUUAUCAAUUGUAGAUUCAAGAUACCGUGGAUUCAAGAUACCGUCCCUUCUAAGUAAUCUGGAAACGUAGGUUUUGCGAUCGGCAGUUAGAGACGAUAGUGAGUUUCGUACUCUUUUUGUGUCCACAAGAAAUUCUGCCGAAGAGGUCUCUGUAUCCAUUGUUUUCUCGUGGAUUGCUGCAGAUUAUUUUCGUACAGGUGGUUCAAUGGAUCAUUUCUAUCAAGUUAAUCAAAACAUUGCCCUAAAUCACCCUGAAGGUGGCCUCCCUAGCACCCAAUCUUCUAAAAAUUCACUGAAGCAGAUGGGGUCUGAAGAGAAAA